Molecule: ribosomal RNA, 654 nt
Filed under: uncultured bacterium
Lineage: Bacteria
Description: bacterial SSU rRNA
Rfam family: Bacterial small subunit ribosomal RNA
Source: RNAcentral
UGGGGAGUACGGCCGCAAGGUUAAAACUCAAAUGAAUUGACGGGGGCCCGCACAAGCGGUGGAGCAUGUGGUUUAAUUCGAUGCAACGCGAAAAACCUUACCCACCUUUGACAUGUACGGAAUCCUUUAGAGAUAGAGGAGUGCUCGAAAGAGAGCCGUAACACAGGUGCUGCAUGGCUGUCGUCAGCUCGUGUCGUGAGAUGUUGGGUUAAGUCCCGCAACGAGCGCAACCCUUGCCAUUAGUUGCUACGAAAGGGCACUCUAAUGGGACUGCCGGUGACAAACCGGAGGAAGGUGGGGAUGACGUCAAGUCCUCAUGGCCCUUAUAGGUGGGGCUACACACGUCAUACAAUGGCUGGUACAAAGGGUUGCCAACCCGCGAGGGGGAGCUAAUCCCAUAAAGCCAGUCGUAGUCCGGAUCGCAGUCUGCAACUCGACUGCGUGAAGUCGGAAUCGCUAGUAAUCGUGGAUCAGAAUGUCACGGUGAAUACGUUCCCGGGUCUUGUACACACCGCCCGUCACACCAUGGGAGCGGGUCUCGCCAGAAGUAGGUAGCCUAACCGCAAGGAGGGCGCUUACCACGGCGGGGUUCGUGACUGGGGUGAAGUCGUAACAAGGUAGCCGUAUCGGAAGGUGCGGCUGGAUCACCUCCUU